Molecule: ribosomal RNA, 327 nt
Filed under: uncultured eukaryote
Lineage: Eukaryota
Description: partial 18S ribosomal RNA
Rfam family: Eukaryotic small subunit ribosomal RNA
Source: RNAcentral
CCCUUAGAUGUUCUGGGCCGCACGCGCGCUACACUGACGAAUGCAACGAGCUUAUAACCUUGGCCGAAAGGUCUGGGUAAUCUCCAAAUUUCGUCGUGAUGGGGAUAGAUUAUUGCAAUUAUUAAUCUUCAACGAGGAAUGCCUAGUAAGCGCAAGUCAUCAGCUUGCGUUGAUUACGUCCCUGCCCAUUGUACACACCGCCCGUCGCUCCUACCGAUUGAAUGGUCCGGUGAAGCGUUCGGACCGUGGCCUUUGGACGGUUCGCCGUCUGUUGGCUGCGGGAAGUUCGUUAAACCUUAUCAUUUAGAGGAAGGAGAAGUCGUAACA